AUUGAACGCUGGCGGCAGGCUUAACACAUGCAAGUCGAGCGGGGUGAUGGUGCUUGCACUAUCACUUAGCGGCGGACGGGUGAGUAAUGCUUAGGAAUCUGCCUAUUAGUGGGGGACAACAUCUCGAAAGGGAUGCUAAUACCGCAUACGUCCUACGGGAGAAAGCAGGGGAUCACUUGUGACCUUGCGCUAAUAGAUGAGCCUAAGUCGGAUUAGCUAGUUGGUGGGGUAAAGGCCUACCAACGCGACGAUCUGUAGCAGGUCUGAGAGGAUGAUCCGCCACACUGGGACGGAAACACGGCCCAGACUCCUACGGGAGGUAGCAGGGGGGAAUAUUGGACAAUGGGGGGAACCCUGAUCCAGGCAUGCCGCGGGUGUGAAGAAGGCCUUAUGGUUGUAAAGCACUUUAAGCGAGGAGGAGGCUCUUUUGGUUAAUACCCAAGAUGAGUGGACGUUACUCGCAGAAUAAGCACCGGCUAACUCUGUGCCAGCCGCCGCCGUAA
Molecule: ribosomal RNA, 503 nt
Filed under: uncultured bacterium
Lineage: Bacteria
Description: partial 16S ribosomal RNA
Rfam family: Bacterial small subunit ribosomal RNA
Source: RNAcentral